This 253-nucleotide ribosomal RNA is filed under the name uncultured bacterium. Its description in RNAcentral is "partial 16S ribosomal RNA". It matches the Rfam family "Bacterial small subunit ribosomal RNA", at positions 524 to 776 of the family's 1533-position model. The record is from RNAcentral.
UACGUAGGGGGCUAGCGUUGUCCGGAAUCAUUGGGCGUAAAGCGCGUGUAGGCGGUCCGGUAAGUCCGCUGUGAAAGUCGGGGGCUCAACCCUGGGAUGCCGGUCGAUACUGCCGGACUAGAGUCCGGAAGAGGCAAGUGGAAUUCCCGGUGUAGCGGUGAAAUGCGCAGAUAUCGGGAGGAACACCAAUGGCGAAGGCAGCUUGCUGGGACGGUACUGACGCUGAGACGCGAAAGCGUGGGGAGCAAACAGG